Molecule: long non-coding RNA, 951 nt
Organism: Dioscorea cayenensis subsp. rotundata (Guinea yam)
Lineage: Eukaryota; Viridiplantae; Streptophyta; Magnoliopsida; Dioscoreales; Dioscoreaceae
Exons: 3
Source: RefSeq, a predicted model, not a curated record
AUUUGGGACCUCAGAAUGGGGAGGUGAGGGCGAGAUUGUUGCUCUUUUCGAUGAGGAAGCGGGAGCUGGUGAUUAUUGCCAACAAAAGUUGUUUGUGGCAAAAUUCAGGGAGCAAUAGGGUACGACUCCACUUGCCAUGAUAGCAACAGGCUGACAGGAAUUGUGAAAUGCUUUCUAAUGUUGGUGCUGAAUGUCCAGAAAUUUCUUUGACGUGGAUGUUAAGUUGAAUACCGACAUUUCUGCAAACCAUCUCUCCAGUUUUCUUUCAAUCCAUGUGGCUUUCAUUUUCACUUUAUCAGGUUUCAGUCGCUGAAGAAUUUCUGCAUUUUUGAAUUUCUCAGACACUAGGCAGUGGUUGGAUCUUUGCUCUGCAUGAGGCACUCAUCAUUCUUGGCAUUCUUGCUCUUCCAUUUGAAUUGUCGGAUUGUCGGGACAUCUCGAUCUUUGGGUCCAUUUCAUCGAUGAUUAUUAUCAUCUUCAGGUUCAUUCUUGGGUGUAUGGUCAUGCAGGCAGUCCACUGAGUAGUCUCAAAAGCCAGACAUGUCUGAUGCAUUCAUGUUUGUAUCUGUUUGUUGGUUUCUGUUGGCAAAGCUCAAGCCAUGAGAUUCAUUUCCUUCUGAUCAUUCAUGGGAAUAUUUUUUCUGCCACUCUAUUCCUGCUCUUAUUUAAGACUCUACCCAUCCUUUUCAGUCUUCUGGACAAAUAUUUGAACGGUGAGGACCAGUUAUCUGUCCUUUUUGCAACAUACUUGCCCUUCUCUGCUGUUCCUUUCCAGACUGUAAUUGUAAUUGCAAUUGCAAUUGCAAGCAAUACUCUUUCUUUAGAAACCAAUUCUUAUUAUCAAUUAUCACUCUUGUUUAAUGAUAUCUUUCUUUGAUGAAAAUUCUUGUGUUACUCUCACUGUGUAAUCUUUGUAUGUAGACUGACUUUGGUUUGUUGGGUUGAAGAGAA